CUCUAGAGGAGCUGGAGAGAAAUAAUUCCAGCUGUAAGAAGUUCUCCUGUUUUACUGGAGAAAGGUGCCUGAGUCUGAGGAUGGUCAGGAGAUGGAAGUGGCUCUUGGAACAGCAAGAUGGAAAAUCUUAGGCAUUUUAUGGAAAUAGCAGAGCUGUGACUUGCCAUCAGUUCAGCCCUCAGCCAAGCAAGUAAUGGAGCUCAGUUCUUCAAAGUUUCCCCAGUGAUGUAUUGACUAGAUUGCUUUACCUCUGAGUGAGAAGCCUGUCUCGAUACUCUUGCUGUUAUUUGGCCUGAGACCAACUAGCAACUGCAGCAGUUUCCAGCAGGUGGUUUUCCUGGAAGUCAACUUAAGGAGUCGUGCUUUCCUCUCAUUCUGAUCCUCUGCUGU
Long non-coding RNA from Apus apus (common swift), 390 nucleotides. RefSeq lists it as uncharacterized. The transcript has 4 exons. Lineage: Eukaryota; Metazoa; Chordata; Aves; Apodiformes; Apodidae. The record is from RefSeq and is a predicted model, not a curated record.